GGGACAGCACAAAUGUUGAAGUUUGGGGAAACAUUUUGUACAACUUUGUUCACUGAAUCACAGUCACUGCUUGUGCUGUUGAUAAUCAAAACUAGGCUGCACAGAGUGACGUAGUCACAUAUUUGGCUUGGGUGUACAGAUGUUUCCCUUCAAGCAUCUUGGAUGUCUUGCUCCUUAUCAGAAUUUUAUCUCCCCCAAAUUCAUUGUUUGUGAAUUAACUGUAAAGUUCUGGGAGCGAUUUCCUUUUCAACAGUUUGCCUUUCUAGAAAAAAACUUUUGGAGUUUAAAUAGCACUUAACCCUCUAUCAUUUUACUCUCUCUGAAGUGGUCUCUGUGGAGAACAUGUUGGGUCUUCUCUGUUCAAUAUCUCUCUCUCUCUUUCUUGGCAAAGCCUGGAUGCGAGAAGUUGGUCCAAUCUUUCCUGUCCAGGGUUGCUUGUUAAUACAGCAUCUGGAGCAAAGGAAAGGCUAUUAGCACCUUGUCACUUGGAGUUUCUUAAGCAUUGUUCCAUUUAUGUGUUCUUUCUGCAGAGAUUUAAUGAAAGUGGCAUCUGUCUUUACACCUGACAUAUGCAGGUUGUCCGCAGAACUGAACAAGUGGUGUCAGCAACACUGUAUAUGCAGGAAGGCUUCAUGCUCACGUCGUUUUUUCUGUGUUCUCU
Molecule: long non-coding RNA, 661 nt
Filed under: Homo sapiens (human)
Lineage: Eukaryota; Metazoa; Chordata; Mammalia; Primates; Hominidae
Description: non-protein coding lnc-SCGN-4:1
Source: RNAcentral